GGGGCAUGUAUGUAAUUNNNNNNNNNUAAAUUUCUUCCAAAUUUCGACCUCAUUUUACGUGCGAAUCGAACGCCGAUUUCAAAAACUAAUACCGGAAACCUUUGUAAAAUUGAAAAACGAUCAAAAUCCAUAUAAGGAACGUCGAGUUUCGUGGAGUAUUGAGGGAGAUCGAACCGGGUCAAAAACCGGGUCGCACGACCCGUGGGGGCGCGUGCGGCCUCAGGGAGGCUCUAUUUUUUUUUAUUUUUUCAUAAUAAAAUAGUAGAUAAUAUUCUGGAAAUUUUGGUAUAUUGUAUGAAAUUUUGGGAGACCCGAAACUAUUUUUAGUUAAUUAAAUGAGUAGAAAGGUAAUUAAAAAUAUUAUAAUUCCAUAAAAAAUUUCCAAAAUUUUAUGUAAAGUACUAUGAAUUAUUUAGAACCCUCUUGUGUACCUCACUCUCCCUAGUUCAAGUCAUGAAAUUAUUUUCACAAAUUCCGCUGAUUAUUUAAAACUAUUUAACAAAUAAUAAUAAUAAUUUCAUAGAUUUGUACUCUCAAACCAAUUGUUUUUUUAUUUGUUUCUAAUAAAAUAUUAGAUAAUAUUCUGGAACUUUUGGUAUAU
This 601-nucleotide long non-coding RNA is filed under the name Trifolium pratense (red clover). RNAcentral describes it as "long non-coding RNA (TPRA_LNC006330)". The record is from RNAcentral. Lineage: Eukaryota; Viridiplantae; Streptophyta; Magnoliopsida; Fabales; Fabaceae.